RNAcentral lists this ribosomal RNA (1240 nucleotides) under Escherichia coli. Its description in RNAcentral is "bacterial SSU rRNA". It matches the Rfam family "Bacterial small subunit ribosomal RNA", at positions 12 to 1239 of the family's 1533-position model. Lineage: Bacteria; Pseudomonadati; Pseudomonadota; Gammaproteobacteria; Enterobacterales; Enterobacteriaceae. The record is from RNAcentral.
UUUGAUCAUGGCUCAGAUUGAACGCUGGCGGCAGGCCUAACACAUGCAAGUCGAACGGUAACAGGAAGCAGCUUGCUGCUUUGCUGACGAGUGGCGGACGGGUGAGUAAUGUCUGGGAAACUGCCUGAUGGAGGGGGAUAACUACUGGAAACGGUAGCUAAUACCGCAUAACGUCGCAAGACCAAAGAGGGGGACCUUCGGGCCUCUUGCCAUCGGAUGUGCCCAGAUGGGAUUAGCUAGUAGGUGGGGUAACGGCUCACCUAGGCGACGAUCCCUAGCUGGUCUGAGAGGAUGACCAGCCACACUGGAACUGAGACACGGUCCAGACUCCUACGGGAGGCAGCAGUGGGGAAUAUUGCACAAUGGGCGCAAGCCUGAUGCAGCCAUGCCGCGUGUAUGAAGAAGGCCUUCGGGUUGUAAAGUACUUUCAGCGGGGAGGAAGGGAGUAAAGUUAAUACCUUUGCUCAUUGACGUUACCCGCAGAAGAAGCACCGGCUAACUCCGUGCCAGCAGCCGCGGUAAUACGGAGGGUGCAAGCGUUAAUCGGAAUUACUGGGCGUAAAGCGCACGCAGGCGGUUUGUUAAGUCAGAUGUGAAAUCCCCGGGCUCAACCUGGGAACUGCAUCUGAUACUGGCAAGCUUGAGUCUCGUAGAGGGGGGUAGAAUUCCAGGUGUAGCGGUGAAAUGCGUAGAGAUCUGGAGGAAUACCGGUGGCGAAGGCGGCCCCCUGGACGAAGACUGACGCUCAGGUGCGAAAGCGUGGGGAGCAAACAGGAUUAGAUACCCUGGUAGUCCACGCCGUAAACGAUGUCGACUUGGAGGUUGUGCCCUUGAGGCGUGGCUUCCGGAGCUAACGCGUUAAGUCGACCGCCUGGGGAGUACGGCCGCAAGGUUAAAACUCAAAUGAAUUGACGGGGGCCCGCACAAGCGGUGGAGCAUGUGGUUUAAUUCGAUGCAACGCGAAGAACCUUACCUGGUCUUGACAUCCACGGAAGUUUUCAGAGAUGAGAAUGUGCCUUCGGGAACCGUGAGACAGGUGCUGCAUGGCUGUCGUCAGCUCGUGUUGUGAAAUGUUGGGUUAAGUCCCGCAACGAGCGCAACCCUUAUCCUUUGUUGCCAGCGGUCCGGCCGGGAACUCAAAGGAGACUGCCAGUGAUAAACUGGGAGGAAGGUGGGGAUGACGUCAAGUCAUCAUGGCCCCUUACGACCAGGGGCUACACACGUGCUACAAUGGCGCAUA